CCCUUCGGGGUUAUUGGCGCACGGGUGCGUANNNNNNNNNNNNNGCCUUUAGGUUCGGAAUAACUCAGAGAAANNNNNNCUAAUACCGAAUAAUGUCUUCGGACCAAAGAUUUAUCGCCUUUAGAUGGGCCCGCGUUAGAUUAGAUAGUUGGUGGGGUAACGGCCUACCAAGUCGACGAUCUAUAGCUGGUCUGAGAGGAUGAUCAGCCACACUGGGACUGAGACACGGCCCAGACUCCUACGGGAGGCAGCAGUGGGGAAUAUUGGACAAUGGGCGAAAGCCUGAUCCAGCAAUGCCGCGUGAGUGAUGAAGGCCUUAGGGUUGUAAAGCUCUUUUACCAGGGAUGAUAAUGACAGUACCUGGAGAAUAAGCUCCGGCUAACUCCGUGCCAGCAGCCGCGGUAAUACGGAGGGAGCUAGCGUUGUUCGGAAUUACUGGGCGUAAAGCGCGCGUAGGCGGCUAUCCNAGUCAGGGGUGAAAUCCCGGGGCUCAACCCCGGAACUGCCUCUGAAACUAGGUAGCUAGAAUACUGGAGAGGUGAGUGGAAUUCCGAGUGUAGAGGUGAAAUUCGUAGAUAUUCGGAAGAANACCAGUGGCGAAGGCGACUCACUGNNCAGUUAUUGACGCUGANGUGNGAAAGCGUGNGAGCAAACAGGAUUAGAUACCCUGGNAGNCNCG
This 679-nucleotide ribosomal RNA is filed under the name uncultured bacterium. Its description in RNAcentral is "partial 16S ribosomal RNA". It matches the Rfam family "Bacterial small subunit ribosomal RNA", at positions 76 to 799 of the family's 1533-position model. The record is from RNAcentral.